UCACCCAAGUAAACAGCCCUGAAAAGGCUUUCUUUUUUUCAUUUUUAAUUGUGCAUUUCUUCAGCGGUCCUCAUGGCAAAGUGGAGUGAUUCCCGCCCUUUAGAAAGGGAGGAAGAAAAGCAGCGCAGGAGGAUGGCUCGCGGGAUCUGCAGAGAUAGGUGCACAGCCUCAGCCGGGCAUGUUUACGGGGAAGGGAGCUGCAGCCUGACAGUGCGAAUCUUCUACUUUCCUGGAAAAGGACGUCAGUCUUUUCUGUCCCUUGAUUAGGCUUCCAGCCACAGGGUGCCCCCCACCUGACAAGGGGCCCGGAGCACCCGCAGACGCUGGGCUGUGAGCCGCUGCUCAGCCCAAGCAGGACACAGCCUGAAUGCGAAAUGUCGUCAGAGCCGGUCCUGCAGUACUGCUCCUCUUUGAAUAACAAAAACACAUCACUGGGAGAGAAGCUGUGAGAUGGGAUUGCAGACCCACAGGUGAUCGAUCCACAGGCAGCUGGGACCCAGCCCAGUGUGUGCACCAGGAGUCUGACACCACAGACCCACAGUGGCAGAGACUGAAGAACAGACUAUAAAAACUGCACCGAGGAAGUGAUUCCCUCCUUAUGGCUGUCAAAUUAGCACCACCCACCCGUGGUUGGCUGCGGAGUGCUGUGAUCCCGCGCGGGCUGGUGGUGGGACACCACAUGCGAGCCAUGCAUUGAGUCAAGGCCCUGCGGUCACCUCAGCACAGCCUACAAGGAAGUGUGCAGCCCUCCGGAUGUGGCAGCCCAGCCUCCUGCAGCCCCAACCCUGAGCUUGCAGUGGUCAAGUGUGCAGCUCCCAGUGACACCUGCCAGCCAUGUGUCUCCAGAACCUGAACUCAUGUCCUCCACGUCCUGCUAUGGGUCCCGUCAGCACACCAAUGACAUGCAGAGCCCAACUCCCCAGCUGCCAUCUCCGCCUCCAGUCGGGGCCCAGGGCAGCAUCCACACAGUCUGCCUGCACCCUGGUGCUACGGUCCCCUGCAUCCUACCUGGGUGAGGCAAGAUUGGUGAUCCUUGGUGAGCUCUGCACCUUGAAGAUGCUGAGACCUCCCUGUUCCACAGUGGAGACUGCUGGGUGCCUCAAAGGCGUCAUAGUGCAGAGCAAAGUUAGCUCUAAGGGCUCAACCAACAGAGGGGAAACCCCAGCCAGGCAGGGUGGUGGGGCAGUGUUCAAGGACCUGGGCUGGGAAGGACCCCCCAGGCACUGGGCCCAUCCUGAGGCACUGUGGCAGAGGGAUGCCAGGGGCAGGGCAGGGGCAGGGGUAGAAGAUCGAGCUAUGGCCUCCCAGUAUCCCCGGCAGUGUUUGACUUUCCAGUUUACUGCUGUGAGUCUCCACUGCUUCCCCUCCGGAACUGCCUUUCUUCCCAAAAAACGAGGCCUGGACUCAGCAUCAGGGCCACAGGCGGGAAAAGCCUUCCCAGAGGCCAUAGGGAGCAAGAAACUCCCUGGAAGGGCCAGGCUUGCACUGUCCCCAAGGCAACCUGGAGACAAGGAAGCUGCCUCAGAUGCACCCCACCAAGGAGGCUUCCAGGGUGACAAUAGCCACUCAGGACACCUGACAUUUUGUGGGCCCGGGCUAUCCAUAAAGAGUGGCUAAGGACAGAGAUUAAAAGCACACUGAGUUGGAGCAAACCACCUAACACACAUUGAGGGUCUGCUCACACCAUGCAGAGGAGCAGCUGUCAGGAACAAGCAUCCUGAGACAUGCUGCUCUUCUCUCUGGGGUUCCAAGUGACCCCAUAGUAUGAGGGGACAGAGAUGUCUGUGCCCCUCCAGAUGCCAACACAAACAUCAGGCCCAGAGUAGGGCCCAGGCCAGACACUGCCCUUUCUCCCAACGCAUGUGGCCUCCGCCCUUCUCAGAGCCCUAGUGACCACGCCCAGAGGCCUCCUUAGUUCCUGGCCAACCGCCCUGCCUGGAUCCGACCCAGAUCAGCACCCUGCUGAAGCUCCAUGUGGAUUACAAAUUGCAGCGGUCAGAGUGGGGGAGACAGAUCCAAUUUCAGAGCUUCUCCCACAGCUGGGAUGAACCACCGGGCCUGGGCCACUGUGUCCCCUGACAGAGUAUUAUAGAGGAGAAAUUUCAAAUGUCAGUGUGCAAAUACCACACCCCCGCCUGCAUGCUCCUCACACGUGGAGUCCCUGGAGCAGCCCAGGCCCGCCUCACCCUGCACCAGCCGGAAGGACAGCCCAGCCCGUGUGCUGAGGAUGGAGGUUUGAGAAGUCUGGUGGCUGUAUGAAUGGCACAGACCAAGCAUUCUUUAAAGUAUAAAGGAAAAUGAAGGAGCUGGUGUCUUCGGCCUCCCUUCUGUUUUGCAGUGGGAAUUCAUGCGUGAGGUGAUUCAAAGCUGCCAGUUCCAGAGUCCUCAGAGGAAGAGCAAACUUGCUCUGUCCAGUGCCCAGAGCUGGGCUCUGUUCUGGAGCAUUUAUAGGGGUUUCUAGCAGCAUUUCUCAGACAAUAGUCCUAUCUAACUACACUAGUCAGGGAGAAAACC
Molecule: long non-coding RNA, 2514 nt
Organism: Cavia porcellus (domestic guinea pig)
Lineage: Eukaryota; Metazoa; Chordata; Mammalia; Rodentia; Caviidae
Exons: 6
Source: RefSeq, a predicted model, not a curated record